RNAcentral lists this ribosomal RNA (477 nucleotides) under uncultured Sphingobacterium sp. RNAcentral's name for it is "bacterial SSU rRNA". It matches the Rfam family "Bacterial small subunit ribosomal RNA", at positions 9 to 478 of the family's 1533-position model. The record is from RNAcentral. Lineage: Bacteria; Pseudomonadati; Bacteroidota; Sphingobacteriia; Sphingobacteriales; Sphingobacteriaceae.
GAGUUUGAUCCUGGCUCAGGAUGAACGCUAGCGGCAGGCCUAAUACAUGCAAGUCGAGGGGCAGCAGGCUGUAGCAAUACAGUGCUGGCGACCGGCGCACGGGUGCGUAACACGUAUGCAAUUUGCCCAUAACUGGGGGAUAGCCCUCCGAAAGGAGGAUUAAUACCCCAUAACCCAACGAGGUGGCAUCACUUUUUUGGUAAAUCUCCGGAGGUUAUGGAUGAGCAUGCGUCCGAUUAGCUAGUUGGUGAGGUAACGGCUCACCAAGGCAACGAUCGGUAGGGGGUCUGAGAGGAUGAUCCCCCACACGGGUACUGAGACACGGACCCGACUCCUACGGGAGGCAGCAGUAAGGAAUAUUGGACAAUGGAGGCAACUCUGAUCCAGCCAUGCCGCGUGAAGGAUGAAGGCCCUACGGGUUGUAAACUUCUUUUCUACUUAGAAAAACUACUGGUUUCGUACCGGUACUGAUUGUAC